GUAGGUGGCAAGCGUUAUCCGGAAUUAUUGGGCGUAAAGCGCGCGUAGGCGGUAAAAUAAGUCUGAUGUGAAAGCCCCCGGCUCAACCGGGGAGGGUCAUUGGAAACUGUUUUACUUGAGUACAGAAGAGGAGAGUGGAAUUCCAUGUGUAGCGGUGAAAUGCGCAGAGAUAUGGAGGAACACCAGUGGCGAAGGCGGCUCUCUGGUCUGUAACUGACGCUGAGGUGCGAAAGCGUGGGGAUCAAACAGGAUUAGAUACCCUGGUAGUCCACGCCGUAAACGAUGAGUGCUAAGUGUUGGGGGGUUUCCGCCCCUCAGUGCUGCAGCUAACGCAUUAAGCACUCCGCCUGGGGAGUACGGCCGCAAGGCUG
RNAcentral lists this ribosomal RNA (371 nucleotides) under uncultured bacterium. Its description in RNAcentral is "bacterial SSU rRNA". It matches the Rfam family "Bacterial small subunit ribosomal RNA", at positions 527 to 896 of the family's 1533-position model. The record is from RNAcentral.